UUUUUUUUUUCUUUUUUGCAGGCUUAGUUCAAAGUCAUGGAGUACACACUGGAAAGUGACAGACAGGAAUAUUUGAGGCAUGUGUACAGCUUGUGUCCUAGGAUGGCAUUCAGGAGCACACCUGCCCCCUGGGCAUGCUUAAGUUUCACUAUAGAAGUGACCAACAGGAACACCUUUAAGGAUUUUAUUUCCUCCCAAAGAAUUUUAGCUGGAUUUAAAAAGAGGGUGGAGAGGGUAUUUUAAAGGCGUCUUAAUAUAAGAGUUUAUUUCCAAAGGUGCCUUCCUCACUGAGUGCUGACAGAGACUACUAGAACAUUCUUUCCAACAUAUUCCAAGUUGUUCCUCUAAGGACUUCUCCUGUGUCCUGGGCUCCCUUUCCAGAGGCGUGUUGAGCUGCCAUUCUCUGACUGGUCGGCCCCAGUGGGCAUCAGGACUGCCUUCAGAGCUCAGCUUCCCCUGAUGGCCCAGUUCCCUGCUGCUGCCAGGCAACUCCCACACACCUCCUCUUCUUUCAAACCACCCCUCCCAUCUGGACUUCAGUCCGACCUUCCCCAGAUGCCUUCUUCACUCAACCACUCUCAAAAAGCUCUAGUGGUCCUGAGAAUACCAAGCUGGGUCUUCCCCCACAGUUGUCCCCAUGUGUCACUUACUGCAUUGUAGGACUGGUUGGGACUAGCGUGGAACCCUGAUGUCAGUGUCCAAAAGCCUUCUCUCUAAGCCUUUGCUGGGGCAGUUACCCCCAGGAGACCACAGCCUAAACGCUCUCCAGCUCAUUUGACUGCGUUUCCACCGACUAGUUCCAUGUGGGAGCCACAAGUUCACUUCCUGCUCUGUAUCAGGGCAGGGAGUGAACCAUGAAGUUCACCACAGGGAACUUGUCAUAGCUGAACAUGAAGCAUUUUAACAGUCUUCGGCCUGAUCUCAGGCACGCACCAAGUGGCCAAGCUCUGAGUGAGAAGAAACCUCUGAUGUUCCCAGGCCUAGCGAGGGGGUUUCCUGGGGCCUCCCAAGCCUUUUGUGAACUUUUGUUGCUCAGGGGAACAUGUUGACCUUUAGGUUGACCUCAGGGAUAGAAAUCUUCUCAGGGAGCCACUGCAGAGCAGUGACCCUGUGCUUCUUCCAGGUAAUAGAGCCCAUUGUAGCCUCCGGGUAAUCUCCUGAAAGGACAGUGGCCACAGAGGAAUCUGUGAGAGUUGCUGCUUUCUUUGUAGUCUGGGUAUUCAUCUCCUGAGGAUGCUCAAGGGACUUCAAGAGCCUCCCAUGGAUUCCCACAGAGCUUACAUUGUCUUCCACUCCAGCAAGAUUCAAAUCUUCAAGCCUAAUUUUCUACCACUCACUCAGCCCCUGAUAAAGACCAGCAAUGUCUAGGAGCUUUAGGGCAUGGGUCACUUUCAAGAUCCAAUCCUGUGUCGUCUUCUGCUAGAUGCAUGAUUUGGAACAUUUUCUUAAAUUUCUUUAUUUAAAAAAAUGAAGUAAGAGACUGGAGAGGUGGUUCAGUGGUUAAAUACUUGCUACUCUUGGAGGUGACCAGGGUUGGGGGGUCCCAACAUCCAUACUGAAUUAAUUGUUCAUGGCUACCUGAAAAUGCAUUCCAGGGGUUCUGCUGCCCUCUUCUGGCCACUCUAGGUAUCUGUAGACACAUGGUACACAUGUAGACACACACACUCAAAUAAAUUCAAAAUACCUUUUGGAAAAUGAAGUCAAUAAAAAACCACACCAGUUCUGCAGGAUCACCACCACAGAGUGCCACAGGCUGAACAGCUGCCAUAGCAAACUCCUCACAGUUUGAGAGACUGGAAUUCUGCAUCAAGAUGCUGAUGGAUGGCUUCUCCUGAGGCCUCUCUCCUUAGAAUUCCAGUGGUACCUUUGCUGAACCCUCAUGUGAUCCCUUUCUGUGUUUGUGUGUCCCUUCUGUCCUGGUUUGUCAUCUCCUUCUGCAUCACCUCCAUCAUCUGGCUGCCCUCAGCUAAUCUUGCCAUCAAACAAUUGAAGUAACAGUUCCAUGGGUUGGAGAGUACACAAACUUUAUCCAAAGAAAAGAUGUAAGUGUGCCCUGGCCAAACCAUCCAUCAAUUAACAACGAUAUGUCCAGCAUUACAACUGAGUUUAGAUGUGUUCCAUGGGUUGAAAACAGGUCUUAUCUGAUACCUGUACCAUUGACUCUUAAGACCAUGGAGGAUAAAGGUCACUGUCUAGUGAACUUCCAGAGAGAAAACUAUUUCCUGUCUAGAGUCUUAUGAGCCUGGCUUUUCUCAGCUCUUCUAUGAGAUGGAAUAAGGCCUUUUCCCUCCACCAAUUUUGGAUGAAAGAGAUGUGCUAUAGCCUUGGGUAGAGCUGGAAAACUUUUGGUGAUGUGCUCACAAAGUAGUGGGAUGAGGGUUUGGACAUCUCCAGGCCACCCUCUUUUCUAUACAGUCCCUGUUCUGUGUGGGUAAACGGCCAUCUUUACACCCCAUACUGCUUGCCAGUCCCAUUCCCAGGCUCUAGCCAGAUGCAUGCCUUUGACUUGGAGGCCUAUUUGUACUCCCAAAGAAAAAGCAGGUCAUUCCAGGGCCCAAGGAGCCAAUAGCUAGGAAGUAGAACAGGUUCUGCCAUCGAAGCAGGCCAAUGACCUUCAUUAUGAAUGACCUUGAGAACUUAAAAAAAAUCAGCUGUCAGAAGAACAACAUGGAGAAGAGACAGAGUUAGCAGGCAGCACCAGGUAGCCGGAAGAACGCUCUCCUACUUUGCACAGUCAUUGGUCUUCAGGAUAAUAUGGGAAUUCCUUUCAUUCCAGGACUUGGGUCAGGUGGAAGCAGGCAGAUCUCUGUGGGUUUGAGGCUAGUCUGGUCUACAAAAUGAGUUCAAGGACAGUUAGGGCUGUUACACAGAGAAAACCCUUUCUUGAAAAAUGAAAGAGAGAGAGAGAGACAGAGAGAGAGACAGAGACAGAGAGAGGGAGAGAGAGAAUGAAUGAAUGAAUGAAUGAAUGAAUGAAUGAAUUCAGGGGCUAGGAAUAUGGUUCAGUCAAUAAAGUUUUUGUCAUGCAAACAUUAUGACUUUGAUUUGAUCCUCAGCACCAC
Molecule: long non-coding RNA, 3062 nt
Filed under: Mus musculus (house mouse)
Lineage: Eukaryota; Metazoa; Chordata; Mammalia; Rodentia; Muridae
Description: long non-coding RNA chr14:63813826-63816888
Source: RNAcentral